UACGGGGGGGGCAAGCGUUGUUCGGAAUUACUGGGCGUAAAGGGCUCGUAGGCGGCCAACUAAGUCAUACGUGAAAUCCCUCGGCUUAACCGGGGAACUGCGUCUGAUACUGGAUGGCUUGAGAUUGGGAGAGGGAUGCGGAAUUCCAGGUGUAGCGGUGAAAUGCGUAGAUAUCUGAAGGAACACCGGUGGCGAAGGCGAGUCUCUGGACGACUCCUGACACUGAGGCACGAAAGCUAGGGGAGCAAACAGG
Molecule: ribosomal RNA, 253 nt
Filed under: uncultured bacterium
Lineage: Bacteria
Description: partial 16S ribosomal RNA
Rfam family: Bacterial small subunit ribosomal RNA
Source: RNAcentral